UGUUGCUUAGCAACAAAGGCUGCCGGGACGCUAGACGGCCCUGGCGCAGAGGGAGCUGAGACCGUCGGCAGGUCCCGGCGUGCAGCCUCUAUCGUUCUAGGGGGUGCUGCGGCAGGAGCGACCCAGAAGCGCCGGUGAGGCCAGCGCGUCCUCACAGCCAUGAGCAGUGAGCAGAGCGGGGGAAACACCAGACACCAGAACAACUUUUCUUCUUUCUGAGGUUGUUGUCAAUUUCAAAUAAGAGACCAUCCCAUACCAUAACAGUAUUAUACUAUACAUGAAAGGCCUUGAUAAUAAACCAAUGGAAUUAAUGGGACAAAAACAGAGAUCCACAUAUAUAUUUAUGUUAUAUAUACACACACAUAUAUGUGUGUAUAUAUGAGAUACAUGCCUAAGAAUUGUGUGUGUUUAUACUAAAAUACAUGCCCAAGGAGUUCGCUGAGACAUCUUUUGUAAUAGAGAAACAUUGGAAAUAAGUUAAAUGUUCAUUCGCUAGGCAAUGGAAUGGAUACAUUGUACUAUGCUCACAGAAUACUAGACAGCUGUGAAAAUCAUUGAGAAACGUGUAUUAAUGGGGAUAAAUUUCAAAAACAAUAUUAAAAAAUAGCAUGUUGCAGAAGGAUACAAAUUGUGUGUGAUGGCAUUUAUAUAAAAUUAAAAACAUGCAGUAACAAUCUUAGGUUGUUUGACAAUCAUAUGUAGUAAUAAGUGUAGUAAAAAUUUGCUUAGGAAUGAUAAACACAAAAUUCCAGGAUGGCAAAGAAUUGGGUUGAAGAUACACAAGUGUUCAUGAUAUUUUUUGUAUGUUUGAAAUAUUUCCUAAUUUUAAAGAGAAUGAGACGUGAGUAAAUAUAGAUAGUGUGCACAAUCUUGG
This is a long non-coding RNA of Cercocebus atys (sooty mangabey), 874 nucleotides long. RefSeq lists it as uncharacterized. The record is from RefSeq and is a predicted model, not a curated record. The transcript has 3 exons. NCBI's taxonomy places the organism in Eukaryota, Metazoa, Chordata, Mammalia, Primates, Cercopithecidae.